UACGAAGGGGGCUAGCGUUGUUCGGAUUUACUGGGCGUAAAGCGCACGUAGGCGGAUUGGUCAGUUAGGGGUGAAAUCCUGGAGCUCAACUCCAGAACUGCCUUUAAUACUGCCAGUCUCGAGUCCGGAAGAGGUAAGUGGAACUCCUAGUGUAGAGGUGGAAUUCGUAGAUAUUAGGAAGAACACCAGUGGCGAAGGCGGCUUACUGGUCCGGUACUGACGCUGAGGUGCGAAAGCUAGGGGAGCAAACGGG
Molecule: ribosomal RNA, 253 nt
Filed under: uncultured bacterium
Lineage: Bacteria
Description: partial 16S ribosomal RNA
Rfam family: Bacterial small subunit ribosomal RNA
Source: RNAcentral